ACGAACGCUGGCGGCGUGCUUAACACAUGCAAGUCGAACGGAAAGGCCCUGCUUUUGUGGGGUGCUCGAGUGGCGAACGGGUGAGUAACACGUGAGUAACCUGCCCUUGACUUUGGGAUAACUUCAGGAAACUGGGGCUAAUACCGGAUAGGAGCUCCUGCUGCAUGGUGGGGGUUGGAAAGUUUCGGCGGUUGGGGAUGGACUCGCGGCUUAUCAGCUUGUUGGCGGGGUAGUGGCUUACCAAGGCUUUGACGGGUAGCCGGCCUGAGAGGGUGACCGGCCACAUUGGGACUGAGAUACGGCCCAGACUCCUACGGGAGGCAGCAGUGGGGAAUAUUGCACAAUGGGCGGAAGACUGAUGCAGCAACGCCGCGUGCGGGAUGACGGCCUUCGGGUUGUAAACCGCUUUCGCCUGUGACGAAGCGUGAGUGACGGUAAUGGGUAAAGAAGCACCGGCUAACUACGUG
This 467-nucleotide ribosomal RNA is filed under the name uncultured bacterium. RNAcentral describes it as "partial 16S ribosomal RNA". It matches the Rfam family "Bacterial small subunit ribosomal RNA", at positions 29 to 507 of the family's 1533-position model. The record is from RNAcentral.